GUGGGAGGGGGCUUGCCCCCGAUGGCGGUAGGUCAGCUAUGAAUAAGCUGGCUGAUAGACCGCUAUCGGGGGCAAGCCCCCUCCCAC
Molecule: unclassified non-coding RNA, 87 nt
Filed under: Pseudomonas orientalis
Lineage: Bacteria; Pseudomonadati; Pseudomonadota; Gammaproteobacteria; Pseudomonadales; Pseudomonadaceae
Source: RNAcentral